CGUAUUGCGCCAGAUGAAUGGAUUACAUUGAUGUUGUAAAUUAUGGUGGCCCUCCCCAAUAUUU
Molecule: transfer RNA, 64 nt
Filed under: Typosyllis sp. patternB
Lineage: Eukaryota; Metazoa; Annelida; Polychaeta; Phyllodocida; Syllidae
Description: tRNA-Ile
Source: RNAcentral